GGAUGUGCUGGGCCUGACCAGCCGCCCGCUUUCCUCUUCUCUUGCCUCUGCCUGCCCCCUGGUGGACAGCUGGGGUAAAGCAUGGGAGUGCGCCUUUGGGGUCUCAGUGGGGCUGAAAUACGACUCCUCCCCUAGGACAGCCUGCCUUCCCCAGCCUUGUUCUCCGGCAAAGUCAAUUUCCUGGAGAAUCGAGGCUCUGCCUCAGAUGUUCGGAGCCUCCGCAGGAUGAACACCUCCAUUUCAAUUCCAGGGGCUUUGAUCAACCUGUGCCUCCCUUGAUCCCCAACUUGUGGGCACCUUCCCUUGAGCAGUGCCCCCACGAGGUACACCUUUCCCGGGAAACAAAAAUCAUUCCUUCUUUGGGUCCUGCAAGCUGUAAAGAACCAAUACAGCACUGUGCUACUGAACAUGUUGCCACUAUAGAAGCCCCUUGUGUUUUGAAGAGUACAUCUCUAUAGCCAUUCGUUUAUUCAUCAGAAACCAGCUAGAAGCCAGGCCCUGUGCUGGGCGCUGGAGACAUGGAAGAAACUGGGCUGAGGCUCCCGCCUUGAAGAGCUUGUGGCCCAGGGAAGGGACAGUUCAUCUGUCAUUGAUUGCCACGUGACAGUGUCUAUGAUGCUAAAAAGAUGCCAGUGCUGUGCUGCAGGAGCAAAGGCCGUGGAGGAAGAGGCUUUGGCUUUGUUGCGAGUCCUUGCCAGAGCCAGGCAAAGCCAGUCACCGCUUUGUUCAGAUGACUCAGGUAAAUAAAUGAGGCCGCACAGGCUGUCCUGACACCACACACCUCUAGAAUACCCUGGCUGUGCUGGGAGCUAUUGGUGUCAGCUGAGUAUUUUCAUCCCUGUCCAAGUCACAAUGAUCUGACUGUACCAGCCUGUGUGGAUGUUGCUAAGAGGAGGCAGACAGCACCAUGAGCUCCCUUAGAUGACGAUCGGCAUGAUGUUCCUGCUGUGGCAGCGCUCAGCUCUUGCCAAUGCUCUUCUCUGCUUUGCUCACUUUAAGCCUCCCUUAAUUUUUUUGAAGCCCAGUUUCCACAUUGCUGAUUCACAGAUAUGCAAGACUCAGGCAGGAAAAAAAAAAGUGUCUCCUUUUCCAGACUUCUUAGAGGACUUGGAAAGAAAAUGAAAUGACGUUGAACGAAAUCAAAGUAAAUUGAGUGAUCUGAAACGAUUUGAUGUCAGCAAGAAUUCCCCAUACAGCUCACAGCCCUACCCCGAGCACGCCUCCCUCUUGGGUAUGCUCUCUGCAGGCCCAAACCUUGCAGAAGCCAUUCCAUGUUUCCUGAGCAGGAAAAGACAAACUCAGACCGACAACCUUGGACUUCAAAAGACUGCACACAAGGGGAGGAAGGACUGAGAGUACCAAGGCGUGAGAAUUCAGAAUGCUGCUAUCUCAUUUAUUUUUACCAUUUAGGAAACGUUUUGAUCUGCAUUCCUUUUCCCUUCCCUGAUUUCAAAAAAUAAAAAUAAAAAUGCUUCGGUUCUGAGGAGUAACUCUCCAAAAAAAAAAAAAAA
This 1511-nucleotide long non-coding RNA is filed under the name Homo sapiens (human). Its description in RNAcentral is "long independently transcribed non-coding RNA 2029 (LINC02029)". The record is from RNAcentral. Lineage: Eukaryota; Metazoa; Chordata; Mammalia; Primates; Hominidae.